This 74-nucleotide transfer RNA is filed under the name Chloroflexota bacterium. RNAcentral describes it as "Chloroflexi bacterium (sediment metagenome) tRNA-Gln". It matches the Rfam family "tRNA". From Rfam's summary of the family: Transfer RNA (tRNA) molecules are approximately 80 nucleotides in length. Their secondary structure includes four short double-helical elements and three loops (D, anti-codon, and T loops). Lineage: Bacteria; Bacillati; Chloroflexota. The record is from RNAcentral.
UGGGGGUUCGUCUAGUGGUAGGACAGUAGACUCUGGAUCUACACACCGAGGUUCGACUCCUCGACCCCCAGCCU